Molecule: ribosomal RNA, 406 nt
Filed under: uncultured bacterium
Lineage: Bacteria
Description: bacterial SSU rRNA
Rfam family: Bacterial small subunit ribosomal RNA
Source: RNAcentral
UUAGGAAUCUUGCGCAAUGGGCGAAAGCCUGACGCAGCGACGCCGCGUGGGCGAAGAAGGCCUUCGGGUCGUAAAGCCCUUUUCCGGGGGAAGAUCGUGACGGUACCCCGGGAAUAAGCCCCGGCUAACUACGUGCCAGCAGCCGCGGUAAUACGUAGGGGGCUAGCGUUGUCCGGAUUUACUGGGCGUAAAGAGCGCGCAGGCGGCCACCGCAAGUCGGCUGUGAAAUCCCUCGGCUCAACCGGGGGGCGUCGGUCGAUACUGCGGGGCUUGGAAGGCGGUAGGGGGAGAUGGAAUUCCCGGUGUAGUGGUGAAAUGCGUAGAUAUCGGGAGGAACACCGAUGGCGAAAGCGAUCUCCUGGGCCGUUCUUGACGCUGAGGCGCGAAAGCGUGGGGAGCGAACUGA